RNAcentral lists this ribosomal RNA (306 nucleotides) under uncultured bacterium. Its description in RNAcentral is "partial 16S ribosomal RNA". It matches the Rfam family "Bacterial small subunit ribosomal RNA", at positions 507 to 807 of the family's 1533-position model. The record is from RNAcentral.
GACAGCAGCCGCCGCGGUAAUACGUAGGUGGCAAGCGUUGUCCGGAAUUAUUGGGCGUAAAGGGCUCGCAGGCGGUUUCUUAAGUCUGAUGUGAAAGCCCCCGGCUCAACCGGGGAGGGUCAUUGGAAACUGGGAAACUUGAGUGCAGAAGAGGAGAGUGGAAUUCCACGUGUAGCGGUGAAAUGCGUAGAGAUGUGGAGGAACACCAGUGGCGAAGGCGACUUUCUGGUCUGUAACUGACGCUGAUGUGCGAAAGCGUGGGGAUCAAACAGGAUUAGAUACCCCUGUAGUCCCUGUCUCUUAUAC